Molecule: ribosomal RNA, 283 nt
Filed under: uncultured bacterium
Lineage: Bacteria
Description: partial 16S ribosomal RNA
Rfam family: Bacterial small subunit ribosomal RNA
Source: RNAcentral
GUCCUGGCCCUAAACGAUGGGUACUAGAUAGCGGACUAGACAUGGGUUCGCUGUCGAAGCCAAAGUGCUAAGUACCCCGCCUGGGGAGUAUGGUCGCAAGGCUGAAACUCAAAGGAAUUGACGGGGGCUCACACAAGCGGUGGAGCAUGUGGCUUAAUUCGAGGCUACGCGAAGAACCUUAUCCUGGGCUUGACAUGUGCGAAAGCGUCAGGAAGUAGGGGGCGGAAACGUCCCCCAACGGUAUCCAGUCCGGAACCUGAUACAGGUGCUGCAUGGCUGUCGU